RNAcentral lists this ribosomal RNA (467 nucleotides) under uncultured bacterium. Its description in RNAcentral is "partial 16S ribosomal RNA". It matches the Rfam family "Bacterial small subunit ribosomal RNA", at positions 29 to 507 of the family's 1533-position model. The record is from RNAcentral.
ACGCACGCUGGCGGCGUGCUUAACACCUGCAAGUCGCACGGAAAGGCCCUGCUUUUGUGGGGUGCUCGAGUGGCGAACGGGUGAGUAACACGUGAGUAACCUGCCCUUGACUUUGGGAUAACUUCAGGAAACUGGGGUUAAUACCGGAUAGGAGCUCCUGCUGCAUGGUGGGGGUUGGAAAGUUUCGGCGGUUGGGGAUGGACUCGCGGCUUAUCAGCUUGUUGGUGGGGUAGUGGCUUACCAAGGCUUUGACGGGUAGCCGGCCUGAGAGGGUGACCGGCCACAUUGGGACUGAGAUACGGCCCAGACUCCUACGGGAGGCAGCAGUGGGGAAUAUUGCACAAUGGGCGGAAGCCUGAUGCAGCAACGCCGCGUGCGGGAUGACGGCCUUCGGGUUGUAAACCGCUUUCGCCUGUGACGAAGCGUGAGUGACGGUAAUGGGUAAAGAAGCACCGGCUAACUACGUG